Molecule: non-coding RNA, 279 nt
Organism: Pelobates cultripes (western spadefoot toad)
Lineage: Eukaryota; Metazoa; Chordata; Amphibia; Anura; Pelobatidae
Source: the annotation of a GenBank genome assembly
CGGAACAGUUUUUUUUAAGAUAUACUUUGGAGCCUGCCUUCAAAAAGGGACCUAGUCACAAUGCUGGGAAAAUUGGAAACUUCCUUCCAGCACAAGUUGGAAAGCCUCUGCGCCGACAUCGGGCAGGUAGGCCUCAGGGUCCAAGAUUUGGAGGAUGAUAGGGGUUCCAUGAAGGUCCAAAUUCAGACCCUGGCUUCCAGAAUUGAGUCCCAUGAAACAUACCUGUCCCAACUACAGCGGUCCCUGGAUAAUGUUAAUAACAGGGGCAGGAAGAAUAAC